Long non-coding RNA from Strigops habroptila (Kakapo), 858 nucleotides. RefSeq lists it as uncharacterized. The transcript is spliced from 4 exons. The record is from RefSeq and is a predicted model, not a curated record. Lineage: Eukaryota; Metazoa; Chordata; Aves; Psittaciformes; Psittacidae.
CAAGGUGAUGCUUGUGUUCUCUAGUGGUCUUUCAGUUCUCCUAGAGCUGAGCUGAAGGAACUGAAGCCAAAUCUCAAUGCCAGCAUCAAACAUUAGCUACUCAGAGUCACAAAAUGCCUCUGGAUGUGUGAAUCACUGCGUGGGAUCAGUUGUUCCCUUUAUUACCUAUCAUCAUCCCUUCUCUUCAGGAAAGUUGCUGUUCCAUACAUAGACUCCCAUGCCUCUGGGCAUCAAGAGCCAAGCUUGAGGAAAGCACUGCAAGUUGUGAGAUAUGUGGCAUGCUGAUUCUGUUAAUUGUAUUCUUUUGUAUACAUUUCCGAUGCAUUUUCCCACUGUUGCUUCUUUCAGGGAAUAGAUUGGACUUUUGCACGUAGACUAUAGCUGUGCAUUUACUUGGAAAAAAUUGAGUAAUUCAGAGAGUGUGUUCCCUUCCUUCACAUCUGCUACAACUGAAAAUUACUGGAAAAUCUUGAGGAAAGAAAAUUUUAGAAAAAAGGUACAGGCACAGGCCAUGUGUGUGGAUGGGGAGAGAAAAUGCAGGGAGGCAAGAUUUGCUGCUCAUGUGCUACUCCACCUGCAUAGUCACAGGAGCUGCUGCAGGACUAGCAGUACCAAAAAGCAGAUGCUUGUCAUCCUGUGUGGGCAAAAUAUGUGUCCAAACUGGACGUAAAGUAGACCCUGGACUCAUUGUUUAGUUUAAUAUUAAAGCAGACAGGAAUGAUUUUUUUAUUUUUUUUUUAACUGCACAAUGUUUCCUUCCUGUGUAUCCUUCCUUUUCUUUACUUUCCUCAUUUGUCUGUCUUGUUCCCAUCAUAAAUCUGGUGUUUGUUUAAAUGAAUAAAGAGCACUUUUGAUAAG